UACGUAGGCAGCAAGCGUUGUUCGGAGUUACUGGGCGUAAAGGGUGCGUAGGUGGCUCUAUAAGUAUGGUGUGAAAUCUCCCGGCUUAACUGGGAGGGUGCGCCGUAGACUGUGGGGCUAGAGUGUGGGAGAGGAAAGUGGAAUUCCUGGUGUAGCGGUGAAAUGCGUAGAUAUCAGGAGGAACACCGGUGGUGUAAACGGCUUUCUGGACCAUAAACUGACACUGAGGCACGAAAGCGUGGGUAGCAAACAGG
RNAcentral lists this ribosomal RNA (254 nucleotides) under uncultured bacterium. RNAcentral describes it as "partial 16S ribosomal RNA". It matches the Rfam family "Bacterial small subunit ribosomal RNA", at positions 524 to 776 of the family's 1533-position model. The record is from RNAcentral.